This 469-nucleotide ribosomal RNA is filed under the name uncultured bacterium. RNAcentral's name for it is "partial 16S ribosomal RNA". It matches the Rfam family "Bacterial small subunit ribosomal RNA", at positions 28 to 507 of the family's 1533-position model. The record is from RNAcentral.
GAUGAACGCUGGCGGCGUGCUUAACACAUGCAAGUCGAACGGUGAACACGGAGCUUGCUCUGUGGGAUCAGUGGCGAACGGGUGAGUAACACGUGAGCAACCUGCCCCUGACUCUGGGAUAAGCGCUGGAAACGGCGGCUAAUACUGGAUAUGUGACGCGACCGCAUGGUCUGCGUUUGGAAAGAUUUUUCGGUUGGGGAUGGGCUCGCGGCCUAUCAGCUUGUUGGUGAGGUAAUGGCUUACCAAGGCGUCGACGGGUAGCCGGCCUGAGAGGGUGACCGGCCACACUGGGAUUGAGACACGGCCCAGACUCCUACGGGAGGCAGCAGUGGGGAAUAUUGCACAAUGGGCGAAAGCCUGAUGCAGCAACGCCGCGUGCGGGAUGACGGCCUUCGGGUUGUAAACCGCUUUUGGCAGGGACGAAGCGAAAGUGACGGUACCUGCAGAAAAAGCGCCGGCUAACUACGUG